CGGAAAGCGAUAGGGGCGCAUCCGGGAGACCUUGGACACCUCCUCUAAACGCAAGGAAAAUGUUUAAACUGGAGUUUAAACUGAUUGAUCUUAUCCUGAAAUGUAGUAUUAUGGUAAGUUUGGGUUCACAGAAAUCUAUAGUUGUGUCAUGAACAAAAUACUAGACAAUGGAAUAAGGAAUCAUCAUACUGCAGUUGGAGGAGCACCACAACUGGAGCCAGAGCACCUUGGGUUGUGUCCUAUCUCUGCCAGAUACACUUAGUGUCCUUAUUUCACCUUCCUUUGCUAUAAAAUGGUGCCACCUGUCCUAGAGGCUACAGGAUUGUUGUGAGACAUAUUGUAAUAAUAAGACCAUUUUGUCAAAACAAAAUUUAAGCCCAAUGUAAAGUAAUAAUAAUAAUAAUUGAUCAUAUGUAUAAUGAUACCUUUUGGUCAAACCCAAUGUCUUUAGACUUUGUAUCAACUUGAAUUUUUCUUUCUCAGAGUGACCUUACCUGACUAACCCUAUUCUAACUACAUCAUUUGACCUCCACCCCCAUCAUAGUGGUUACCAUGAUUUUUAAUUACUUAUUUUUGACAUGAUUUGUCUGCCUUCCUGAAACAAAAGCUCCAUAAGGUAUAGGCCAGUGUUUUUCUUGUUCACCAUCACAUCCCCAACAUCUAGCCCAGGACCAGGCUCGCAGGAAGUACUCAGCACAUAUGUUUUGAAUUAUAAUAAGCAUAAGAAAUGACUCUAGGAAAAUACAAUCAACUGAGUCCUGUUUAGAAAAAUGGGUUUAAAUCAUAAAAAUGCUACAUUCCCAUAAUUUUGCUUGAAGAGUCAUCUGUCUAGAUGCCCACAUAGAACCCACAUGUCUAUCACAUAUGCAUUAUUUUUAGAUAAUCCUGGUGCUUAAAUAGGCUUAUUACUUUUUUUUUUUCCGUCCCAGAUAGCCGCUGGAGGUUUAGGGUGAAAUCAGAAGAAGCAAACAGUUUCUACUAUUAUUAAAAUUGCCAUAAAGCGGAGUCUGAAAGUCAUAGACAGAGUGGGUUUUAGAGCUUUUUCCACACCAUCAUUCUACAAAAUGAGGAAGCUGAGGUCACAGAGCAUCGAUGUGAGUUGAUCAGUAUCAAACAGAUGGUAAGUGGCAGGGCUGGAUUACAGCCCUGGUUAAGGACAAAGCCAUCGCUAAGGGGAUUUGUAGAGAACUGAACACACAUAGUUUUCUUCAAUUCCGCUGUCUUACAUUUGUUGCAGGAUUUAUAAUUAUCUCUUUAUUCAAUAGUUCAGUGCUAUUGAACUAUUGUUGGUCAUACUUCUUAAGUAGACUUUUUAUUAAAGUUCUUUAUUUUGCUGGGUUUGUCUUUCCAACACUUAAUAAAUAUAAGCUGCCACUAGCAUCAGUGAUGCAUAGCAAAGCUACUGUUAGUCUUAACCUCUUCUUUAUUACCUCUGUUUUAUUUUCCCCUUUGAGGAUAUCACAUAAAAAGAAAAUUUGCUUUUGAAAGAAAUCCUGUGUUUUAUUUGUUUUUAGAUUUUUAAAAUUUUUAAUAUUUGGUCCUUUCCCCUCUUGAAAUGUAUACUGUACCAGAAUGGAAGUUAUAUUGCCUCCUGAUUAUAAACAUCUAUUUUAUAACACUAUGCUCAAAAUAUUAAAAAAGCAUAAAAUGUGCUCUUAAAGCAAUGAAAUUUAAUUUUCAGCACACUGGCCUCAUGAAGGAAAUAUGCUAUGUAUAUAUAGAUAAUUUUAAGAAUGUAGACUUCCUGUACACUUAACAAAGAAGAACAUGAUAACUCAAUCAAAUUAAGGGAAAAAUGAAAGUCUAGAGAAGAAAAACGAGGCUCUGGUUAAGAAUAAAAUCGUGGCAUUUUCAGCUGUUUAGUCAUUAUUUUAUAAAUGACUCAAAUGUUCAUAUUCUUUAAGAAUAUUCUGAGUAUAAAGAGUUAUAGAAUUUCAGAGGUGGAGAAGCUAGAUUAGUUAGCUCCAAAGUGGGAAACAGAUUCCCAGCUCCGACGGUUUGCAGAGGCUGCUCUGAGUUCUGUGUUGAGAGGGAGUCUGAGGCUGGCUCUGGCAGAGCUGUAAGGAGGACCACCAGUGGUUAGCCGUGCCAUUUGCUGGGGAGGAUGCCACUGUAGCCAAGGGCCUUACAGCUGUCUUUCUGGAUUUGGUUUAUUACCCUCUGUACCUUUGUUUUUAUUUUUGUAAACAAAUCAACUGAACAUGGAGGCCCAGAAAACUGAACUAAUUUAUCCCCGGCGACAUAAUUAAGUUGAAGCAGAGCCAGGGCCAGAGUCCUGGGCACGUGGAUGUUGGUUCACUGUCCUUCCCACCGUGUAGGCAGGGCUCACUUGAGGGGAUAUGUGUUCUCGCCAGUGCUGGAGGACAAAAUCUGAAGGAUGGUAACUCAGUAUUGUUAAAUGGUUAGUAACGUACUGUUGAUUAGAAGCUGACAAGUUUUUGUACAGGAAGGUUAGUGAGAUACAGUAUUUCAGGAAGGACCCUGGCAAAGCUAGAAAGUGCAGGCCAUUUUAUGAGAUUAUUAGUGAGUCAAGUCAUUUGACUCGGCUCACAAGUAAAUAUAUCUAUAUCUGGGCAUUAAAAUAUAACUUUUUAACAGUUAACCAUUUGUAAUUGCCUACUUUAGGUUUAUUAAGUUUUUCUGCUAAAUAACAAACCAAUAUAAUUACUAUGCUGACAGAGGAGCAAUCAUGCAGUCCAGUACCUUAGGUCUGUGUCAAGAGUUAUUUAUAAGUCAGCCACCAAGUAGCAAAAUGAUGAAGAUCUGAAUUUCACCUUUGUCUCCCUCUAUAGUAUUUAGAGGAUAUUAAAGAGUGUGUAAUGGCCCAAAUGUAGAUGUUAGAAAAAAUAAAGGAGAGAGUAAAUAUGGCAAUUACACUAAGUAUGAGUAUUUAAUUUAGGGAAGGUCGUAUACUUAAUCAGGAAAUAAUAUUUUAAUGACUUUUUGGUGAAACUCAUGUUCAGAGUGAAGAAAUUUGGCUAAAACAAAACUCCAUUACUUUUGUAAAAUGCAAAUCCAAUGAUUUAUAUUUCAGUAAUCAAUAACUAUACUGUCUCUAAACUGUGGCCCAAAGAAGCAAUUUUGUGAAAAUUAAGUGUUUUAUAAAGCUUCACCAAUGUGUGACAUGUGAAAAUCAAAAGAGUUGUCAGGACAGUGGGAAAAUGUUUCCCAUAAAAACUAAAACUUAGAAGAUGGAGACUGUAAAAUAAAGGAACUGCGUGCACUUAAUAUGGAGAAUACUUUUUCUACUAAUGUUACUUUAAAAUGGGACAGUCAUCAUUUUAAGAUGAUACAUAGACAGUACAAAGGAAUGGACUAGAUUAUCCAGACAAUACUCAUUUAAAAAUGAUACACAUUGCACAUUUUGGGGAGAGAAAUGGGCUAGAUAAUCUUCCCAAAGACUCUAAUUAUGUGUACGUAUGGGCAAGAAAAGCACAUCUCUGGGCACACUGGGUUUAUUUGAUACGCUUGUCAUGUACCACAAUGUUUCAAAAAAUGGAGGUGAAAUUAAUACGCUAAUAAAAUUUCAAGUAGAAUUGGUUAGAUGCUGAGGUUCUAGAAAGUCCAGGAAACUGAAGGAUGCAUUUUUAAGAUGCAGAAUUUUAACGGUGUUAGAAAUACUAAUGGCAUCAGUAAUAAAUGUAUUGAGGCUACAGAAACAAUUGUCCCCUCCUUGUUUCCAUGAAUACUUUUCCUAUGUUAAUACAGGAAAUAAAAAAAAAAAAACCACCAUCUUUUGUGUAUCUAGUUCAGGUUUCUCAUUUUGUAGAGACAUUACUGGAGUGCCCUGGAAUACUAAUGGCACUUAUAGCCUAACUAAUGCAUUAAAAAAAAAUGAUGUCACUCAUAUGUAGAAUCUAAAAAAAAAAAAAGAGAAAAAAGAAGGCACUAAUGAACUUAACUACAAAAGGGAAACAGACUCACAGACAUAGUA
Vicugna pacos (alpaca) is the source of this 3934-nucleotide non-coding RNA. NCBI's taxonomy places the organism in Eukaryota, Metazoa, Chordata, Mammalia, Artiodactyla, Camelidae. The record is from RefSeq and is a predicted model, not a curated record.